RNAcentral lists this ribosomal RNA (468 nucleotides) under uncultured bacterium. Its description in RNAcentral is "partial 16S ribosomal RNA". It matches the Rfam family "Bacterial small subunit ribosomal RNA", at positions 28 to 507 of the family's 1533-position model. The record is from RNAcentral.
GACGAACGCUGGCGGCGUGCUUAACACAUGCAAGUCGAACGGAAAGGCCCUGCUUUUGUGGGGUGCUCGAGUGGCGAACGGGUGAGUAACACGUGAGUAACCUGCCCUUGACUUUGGGAUAACUUCAGGAAACUGGGGCUAAUACCGGAUAGGAGCUCCUGCUGCAUGGUGGGGGUUGGAAAGUUUCGGCGGUUGGGGAUGGACUCGCGGCUUAUCAGCUUGUUGGUGGGGUAGUGGCUUACCAAGGCUUUGACGGGUAGCCGGCCUGAGAGGGUGACCGGCGACAUUGGGCCUGAGAGACGGCCCAGACUCGUACGGGAGGCAGCAGGGGGGAAUAUUGCACAAUGGGCGGAAGCCUGAUGCAGCAACGCCGCGUGCGGGAUGACGGCCUUCGGGUUGUAAACCGCUUUCGCCUGUGACGAAGCGUGAGUGACGGUAAUGGGUAAAGAAGCACCGGCUAACUACGUG